AAGAUUUUAAGUUAAAAAAACUAUUAAUCUUCAAAAUUAAAAAUAAUAAUUAUUAUUUAUUAAAUCUUA
RNAcentral lists this transfer RNA (69 nucleotides) under Hypsathalia przewalskyi. RNAcentral describes it as "tRNA-Trp". The record is from RNAcentral. Lineage: Eukaryota; Metazoa; Arthropoda; Insecta; Hymenoptera; Athaliidae.